Molecule: ribosomal RNA, 253 nt
Filed under: uncultured bacterium
Lineage: Bacteria
Description: partial 16S ribosomal RNA
Rfam family: Bacterial small subunit ribosomal RNA
Source: RNAcentral
UACGAAGGUCCCAAGCGUUAUCCGGAUUUAUUGGGUUUAAAGGGUGCGUAGGCGGCUUAUUAAGUCAGUGGUGAAAUACUCUAGCUCAACUAGAGGGGUGCCAUUGAUACUGAUGAGCUUGAGUACAGAUGAGGUAGGCGGAAUUGACGGUGUAGCGGUGAAAUGCUUAGAUAUCGUCAAGAACACCUAUAGCGAAGGCAGCUUACUAGGCUGUAACUGACGCUGAGGCACGAAAGUGUGGGGAUCAAACAGG